AUGCAUCAGUACAAAACCAGUUGGAGCAAGUCAUAUUUGUCAUUUGGAAUGUGUUGGAAAAGGUUUCAAGUGCAAAUGACAUGUAAUUUUGAAAAUCACUAUUUUUCCCACCAAUUUUUAAAUGGUUCACUUGAAAAAUGCCAUUUUGAUUGGAUGAUUUUUGAUGAAAUGUGAUAAUGCACCAUGAAAGUUCAUGUCAAAUGUGGUUUGCUCAAAGAAG
This 220-nucleotide long non-coding RNA is filed under the name Lathyrus oleraceus (garden pea). RNAcentral's name for it is "Pisum sativum (pea) long non-coding RNA (PSAT_LNC027638)". The record is from RNAcentral. Lineage: Eukaryota; Viridiplantae; Streptophyta; Magnoliopsida; Fabales; Fabaceae.